UGGGGAAUUUUGGACAAUGGGGGCAACCCUGAUCCAGCAAUGCCGCGUGUGUGAAGAAGGCCUUCGGGUUGUAAAGCACUUUUGUCCGGAAAGAAAACGUCGUGGUUAAUACCCGUGGCGGCUGACGGUACCGGAAGAAUAAGCACCGGCUAACUACGUGCCAGCAGCCGCGGUAAUACGUAGGGUGCAAGCGUUAAUCGGAAUUACUGGGCGUAAAGCGUGCGCAGGCGGUCCGCUAAGACAGAUGUGAAAUCCCCGGGCUUAACCUGGGAACUGCAUUUGUGACUGGCGGGCUAGAGUAUGGCAGAGGGGGGUAGAAUUCCACGUGUAGCAGUGAAAUGCGUAGAGAUGUGGAGGAAUACCGAUGGCGAAGGCAGCCCCCUGGGCCAAUACUGACGCUCAUGCACGAAAGCGUGGGGGAGCAAACAGGAUUCAGAUACCCUGGUAGUCCACGCCCUAAACGAUGUCAACUAGUUGUCGGGUCUUCAUUGACUUGGUAACGUAGCUAACGCGUGAAGUUGACCGCCUGGGAGUACGGUCGC
This 542-nucleotide ribosomal RNA is filed under the name uncultured bacterium. RNAcentral describes it as "partial 16S ribosomal RNA". It matches the Rfam family "Bacterial small subunit ribosomal RNA", at positions 355 to 889 of the family's 1533-position model. The record is from RNAcentral.